UGCGUAGGUGCAGGGGGAGGGGAAGAAAGUCUUCAAAACUAGCCCGCCAUGGUACUGGUCUCUUAGCCUGUAAGGCUCGUGCAUGAUGUCUAUGAGAGCGAUUUCCAGCAGAGCGAAGCCUUAUCACAGAUCCACCUAAAAGGUGAAGUGGGUGAAUAUCAGACAGCUCAUUAUAGAGACAUGCAUGCUGCAUUUCCAAAGUAGAAUGACAGAACAAGUCAUGGUGGAUAAGAGUCAUGGAUGYUAAAGGAGACAUUAAUCAGGCUGUUGUGAAAGAUCUGAUACCAGCUUUGGUCAAAGGGGACGAGUGUCAUCCUGAGAGUGCUCCUCUCUGGGACAGGAAACCGACGGAGCGAAGCCCUGAGAACAUGCCGUGACACUUCAUAUUCAAUCCACAGCCCUAUAAAGAGAUGAAAAAUGAGCCUUGUCCAAAGCUCUUACCUCAGCACCCAGUGGCAAAAAUAAAAUGUGAGCUUGGGACCAGGUCUCUUUGAAGCUGAUUUUUUCUAUUUUUUUUUUAAACUCUCCAACAGGCCUCUGGUGGUUACAGGUAUUGAUCGUCAGAAAGUAAUCUGUUCAGGUUUGGGGGCAUGCCAAACCGAAUCCUGGAGUAUGUUCCUUCCUCUCCAAGGACACGUUGAGCUUUUUAUACUGUCCACACUGUCUUGCUUGUCAGCUGGCUAGCUUCUUUGUCUUUACUGCUUUCCCUGUUUGUGGAAAACAUAUAAUUAAAUCUUCCUUGGAAAAAUAGUAUGCAUUACUACCCUAGAAUUUUCUGCCAGKGCUGAAGGUUUUUUACCCCAUUUUUUUAACCCUCAUUUUUCUUCUAUAAUCAUUAUUUGAUUCCCUCUGGCUGCCUGCUACUUAUUUGUAGUAGUACCAUUCAUCCAUUGAGACUUUUCCAUCUGUCACACAGUUUUGCUUUCUCUCCCCAGAAGCUUUCUUCUCCUACUGUGCCAUGCUUGAUUUUUUGGGUUUAGUUGCAUGUUUGCGUGCUCUUUUUAGUAUUUUAAAAAAUGUUUCAGUAUUCUGAACAAAUACAUCAAGAAGAGAAAAAAAAAAACCCAACAUAGCAUUGAAAUCCAGCACUGUGCAUGGAGACUGGAUGAGGAGACUGAGAUUCCUGGUGAAUUAAGGAAUCAACACAUAGAGCCAGGGCAGAACUAGUGGCCAGAACUUGCUCUCUCUGAAUUGUUUUCAUUGCCUUCAAAAUCCUUCCAGUUUUGUGCUGGAUAAAUAGGUGAUGUCAGGAAAUGUUGUAUUCCCUUUGCUGUACUGACUCCCUUUGGUGUAUUGAUUAAAAAGACUGUCUGAGGAAUACCAAAUGUACUGAGGUACAAUACUGGGAUUACUUAAUGAAAAARAAUGCUUCAAAGUACAGUACACACUUACUAAAAUAAGAUCGUGGUCAUAUGCUACAUUUAAAAUUAAAUGAACAUUUUUUGUUUGCAGAAGGUAGACAUUAAAGAAGUGCAGCCCUUGCUGGUGUUUCCCAGGUGAAAUGCAGGAUGGGYUAAAGCCAGCAGCACAACCCUACAGAAUUACUGGGUUUUUUUCUGCAUGUGUCCUCUGCCUCUAUUAUGAUCUAAAUAGGGAGUGUGUCAAGCAAAUCUUAGUUUUUGAUGUAAGCAAUAGGACAUCUUACAGCUGCCCUACAUAUCACUUGCAAUUGAAUCAAAUCUAAAAUCUUUUGUCUUGGAGAACAACUCACAAAAUGACCUGCGUCCAAUAAUACAUUUUGAAUAUCUCUUUAUUAAUUUUCUCUUCUUUUCCUUUUAUACUUUUCAUUGUAUCUUCUUAUGCUCUUGUUUCAAAAGCUCCUGCAAGUUUAUCAUGAUUAUUAAGAUUAGUAAAAGUGUGUGUUGUGUUCUGAAUUUUUCUUUUCCAGUAGAAAUGCUUCCACUGUUUAUAAAAUGAUUUCUGUGGCUGUAUAGAAAGUGCUGAUAAUCUCCAAACACAAAAGCUGUGAGUGUGUCCUUAUUUGAAUGGCAAUCCCCAGAAAGCUUCCUUUGCUACCAGCCAUUUCAUUGCUCUGUUCUGGGAAUGAAGUGGGUGGAAAAAAAAAAUCAGGRUCUUCAGAUGUCUGGACAGAUGUCUGAAAAUGUAGGUAUUUUACAAAAAUCCCAUUUGUAAAGUGUUGUCCUGUGAAAGUAACAGUCAUUCAGAACCUGAACUUUUGUGGUUGCCUUGCAAAGGAAAAUAAAAGAUUACUUUUCUGGAAUAAGUUAUGAAAAUAAAAUGCAAGGAAAUGAGUGAGAAGGCAA
This is a long non-coding RNA of Malurus melanocephalus (red-backed fairy wren), 2264 nucleotides long. RefSeq lists it as uncharacterized. The record is from RefSeq and is a predicted model, not a curated record. The transcript is spliced from 4 exons. NCBI's taxonomy places the organism in Eukaryota, Metazoa, Chordata, Aves, Passeriformes, Maluridae.